Molecule: ribosomal RNA, 383 nt
Filed under: uncultured bacterium
Lineage: Bacteria
Description: bacterial SSU rRNA
Rfam family: Bacterial small subunit ribosomal RNA
Source: RNAcentral
AUUGAACGCUGGCGGCAUGCCUUACACAUGCAAGUCGAACGGCAGCGCGGGGGCAACCCUGGCGGCGAGUGGCGAACGGGUGAGUAAUAUAUCGGAACGUACCCAAGAGUGGGGGAUAACGUAGCGAAAGUUACGCUAAUACCGCAUACGAUCUAAGGAUGAAAGUGGGGGACCGCAAGGCCUCACGCUCCUGGAGCGGCCGAUAUCUGAUUAGCUAGUUGGUGGGGUAAAGCCUACCAAGGCAUCGAUCAGUAGCUGGCCUGAGAGGACGACCAGCCACACUGGGACUGAGACACGGCCCAGACUCCUACGGGAGGCAGCAGUGGGGAAUUUUGGACAAUGGGGGCAACCCUGAUCCAGCAAUGCCGCGUGAGUGAAGAAGG